CGGCGAGUGAAGCGGCAACAGCUCAAAUUUGAAAUCUGGCCUUCGGGUCCGAGUUGUAAUUUGUAGAGGAUGCUUUUGGUGCGGUGCCUUCCGAGUUCCCUGGAACGGGACGCCAUAGAGGGUGAGAGCCCCGUCUGGUUGGAUACCAAUCCUCUGUAAAGCUCCUUCGACGAGUCGAGUAGUUUGGGAAUGCUGCUCUAAAUGGGAGGUAUAUGUCUUCUAAAGCUAAAUACCGGCCAGAGACCGAUAGCGCACAAGUAGAGUGAUCGAAAGAUGAAAAGCACUUUGAAAAGAGGGUUAAACAGUACGUGAAAUUGUUGAAAGGGAAGCGCUUGUGACCAGACUUGGGCAUGGUUAAUCAUCCAGCGUUCUCGCUGGUGCACUUGGCCUGCCCAGGCCAGCAUCAGUUCGGUGCGGGGGAUAAAGGCUUCGGGAAUGUGGCUCCUCCGGGAGUGUUAUAGCCCGUUGUGCAAUACCCUGCGCUGGACUGAGGUUCGCGCAUCUGCAUGGAUGCUGGCGUAAUGGUCAUCAGCGACCCGUCUUGAAACACGGACCAAGGAGUCGUCCUCGUAUGCGAGUGUUCGGGUGUUAAACCCCUACGCGUAAUGAAAGUGAACGCAGGUGAGAGCUUCGGCGCAUCAUCGACCGAUCCUGAUGUUCUCGGAUGGAUUUGAGUAAGAGCAUACGGGGCCGGACCCGAAAGAAGGUGAACUAUGCCUGUAUAGGGUGAAGCCAGAGGAAACUCUGGUGGAGGCUCGCAGCGGUUCUGACGUGCAAAUCGAUCGUCAAAUAU
Molecule: ribosomal RNA, 793 nt
Filed under: Xenoacremonium recifei
Lineage: Eukaryota; Fungi; Ascomycota; Sordariomycetes; Hypocreales; Nectriaceae
Description: eukaryotic LSU rRNA
Rfam family: Eukaryotic large subunit ribosomal RNA
Source: RNAcentral